RNAcentral lists this transfer RNA (73 nucleotides) under Lactococcus hircilactis. It matches the Rfam family "tRNA". From Rfam's summary of the family: Transfer RNA (tRNA) molecules are approximately 80 nucleotides in length. Their secondary structure includes four short double-helical elements and three loops (D, anti-codon, and T loops). Lineage: Bacteria; Bacillati; Bacillota; Bacilli; Lactobacillales; Streptococcaceae. The record is from Rfam by way of RNAcentral.
GGUCUCGUAGUGUAGCGGUUAUCACGUCGCCCUGUCACGGCGAAGAUCACGGGUUCGAAUCCCGUCGGGACCG